RNAcentral lists this ribosomal RNA (406 nucleotides) under uncultured bacterium. Its description in RNAcentral is "partial 16S ribosomal RNA". It matches the Rfam family "Bacterial small subunit ribosomal RNA", at positions 30 to 526 of the family's 1533-position model. The record is from RNAcentral.
AUUGAACGCUGGCGGCAGGCUUAACACAUGCAAGUCGAACGAGUGGCGGACGGGUGAGUAAUGUCUGGGAAACUGCCUGAUGGAGGGGGAUAACUACUGGAAACUGUCGCUAAUACCGCAUACCAUCGGAUGAGCCCAGAUGGGAUUAGUUAGUUGGUGGGGUAAUGGCUCACCAAGGCGAAGAUCCCUAGCUGGUCUGAGAGGAUGACCAGCCACACUGGAACUGAGACACGGUCCGGACUCCUACGGGAGGAAUCAGUGGGGAAUAUUGCACAAUGGGCGCAAGCCUGAUGCAGCCAUGCCGAGUGUAUGAAGAAGGCCUUCGGGUUGGAAAGUACUUUCAGUGAGGAGGCGUUACUCGCAGAAGAAGCACCGGCUAACUCCGUGCCAGCAGCCGCGGUAAUAC